Molecule: ribosomal RNA, 232 nt
Filed under: uncultured bacterium
Lineage: Bacteria
Description: partial 16S ribosomal RNA
Rfam family: Bacterial small subunit ribosomal RNA
Source: RNAcentral
CGGGACGGGUGAGUAAUGUCUGGGAAACUGCCUGAUGGAGGGGGGUAACUACUGGAAACGGUAGCUAAUACCGCAUAACGUCGCAAGACCAAAGAGGGGGACCUUGGGCCUCUUGCCAUCGGAUGUGCCCAGAUGGGAUUAGCUAGUAGGUGGGGUAACGGCUCACCUAGGCGACGAUCCCCAGCUGGUCUGAGAGGAUGACCAGCCACACUGGAACUGAGACACGGUCCAG